UCACUAUGACUCAGGUCCACCAGGCCAGAGCAUGAAAUCUGGAAUGUGUGUAUGGCACGUCAGCUUCCCCAAAUAACACAGCACACUUCAUCAUCUGAGUGCAAACUAGCUCCAGAAACUCUACCCUGCAAAAGUCACAGGGUGGUGACUACAGACCUGCUAGUCCUCUAGAAGAGUUAUAGAGGCAAGGUGAAUUAAUGCAAGAUGUUGGAGAUUCUCUGGUAGACCAGAUCGUCUACUCUAGGACCUGUUGGGGAGCUGGAAAGAAGAAAUCAAAAGAAGGAAUUCUGGCCAUGUUUUGGCCCCUGCUUUAGGUACAGGACACAUGGAGAAGCCAAUGGUUCAAGUGACAGAAAUAUACAAUCAAGAGGCCCCCACUUUCUCCUCUCUGUCUGCUUCCUGACCUUGCCCUCAGGCAGGAUUCUCAGACAGUCUGGAUCCAUUUAAGCCACUUUCCCCUAACUCCUCCCACUUCAGCCCCUGGAAACUGCUCACCUGCUUUGUGUGAUGCUGUGACAAAUGAAAGCAGUUUUAUUUAUGACCAGCUUGGGAGACACUGUAUCCAAUUCAAAGAUCCUGAUGGCAAUAACUGUUCAUGACAUUGAACCAGCCAUGGAAGCCUUCUGUGAGUCUGUUUCCCCAGGCUGCAAAUGAGACUGAUGACACCUGCUUCACGUUUAAUAGUGUUUGAUAUGUAUUAGGUAGUCAAUAAAUAAUAGUAAAC
This 724-nucleotide long non-coding RNA is filed under the name Cricetulus griseus (Chinese hamster). RNAcentral describes it as "lncRNA (ENSCGRG00015030599.1)". Lineage: Eukaryota; Metazoa; Chordata; Mammalia; Rodentia; Cricetidae. The record is from RNAcentral.